UUAUUUUUAGCGCCUGGCCAAUUUUUAUUUGGUGACGAGGAUGAAGUUUAUCGAAAAAUUCGGCGGAUACUUCAUGGCAUCUUACUGUCAUAAGAUAUUAUUAAAAAAAUAGUAGCAAUACUAUAACAAAGGUAAUAUU
Molecule: non-coding RNA, 139 nt
Filed under: bovine gut metagenome
Description: glmS glucosamine-6-phosphate activated ribozyme
Rfam family: glmS glucosamine-6-phosphate activated ribozyme aptamer
About the family: This entry contains a glucosamine-6-phosphate activated ribozyme that is found in the mRNA for GlmS. GlmS is an enzyme that uses fructose-6-phosphate and glutamine to generate glucosamine-6-phosphate.
Source: RNAcentral